GGACCCGCACAAGCGGUGGAGCAUGUGGUUUAAUUCGAUGCAACGCGAAAAACCUUACCUAUACUUGACAUACUUGGAAUGCUUUGUAAUGAAGCAGUGCCUUCGGGAGCCAAGAUACAGGUGCUGCAUGGCUGUCGUCAGCUCGUGUCGUGAGAUGUUCCGUUAAGUCGGAUAACGAGCGCAACCCUUACCCUUAUUUGCCAGCGAUUCGGUCGGGAACUAUAAGGGGACUGCCGGUGAUAAACCGGAGGAAGGUGAGGACGACGUCAAGUCAUCAUGGCCCUUACGUAUAGGGCUACACACGUGCUACAAUGGAGAAUACAGACGGACGCUAAGCCGCGAGGUGGUGCUAAUCCUAGAAAAUUCUUCGUAGUCCGGAUUGGAGUCUGCAACUCGACUCCAUGAAGUCGGAAUCGCUAGUAAUCG
This 426-nucleotide ribosomal RNA is filed under the name uncultured bacterium. RNAcentral describes it as "bacterial SSU rRNA". It matches the Rfam family "Bacterial small subunit ribosomal RNA", at positions 917 to 1344 of the family's 1533-position model. The record is from RNAcentral.